Molecule: ribosomal RNA, 1371 nt
Filed under: uncultured bacterium
Lineage: Bacteria
Description: bacterial SSU rRNA
Rfam family: Bacterial small subunit ribosomal RNA
Source: RNAcentral
GAUGAACGCUGGCGGCGUGCCUAAUACAUGCAAGUCGAGCGAACGGACGAGAAGCUUGCUUCUCUGAUGUUAGCGGCGGACGGGUGAGUAACACGUGGAUAACCUACCUAUAAGACUGGGAUAACUUCGGGAAACCGGAGCUAAUACCGGAUAAUAUUUUGAACCGCAUGGUUCAAAAGUGAAAGACGGUCUUGCUGUCACUUAUAGAUGGAUCCGCGCUGCAUUAGCUAGUUGGUAAGGUAACGGCUUACCAAGGCAACGAUGCAUAGCCGACCUGAGAGGGUGAUCGGCCACACUGGAACUGAGACACGGUCCAGACUCCUACGGGAGGCAGCAGUAGGGAAUCUUCCGCAAUGGGCGAAAGCCUGACGGAGCAACGCCGCGUGAGUGAUGAAGGUCUUCGGAUCGUGAAACUCUGUUAUUAGGGAAGAACAUAUGUGUAAGUAACUGCGCACAUCUUGACGGUACCUAAUCAGAAAGCCACGGCUAACUACGUGCCAGCAGCCGCGGUAAUACGUAGGUGGCAAGCGUUAUCCGGAAUUAUUGGGCGUAAAGCGCGCGUAGGCGGUUUUUUAGUCUGAUGUGAAAGCCCACGGCUCAACCGUGGAGGGUCAUUGGAAACUGGAAAACUUGAGUGCAGAAGAGGAAAGUGGAAUUCCAUGUGUAGCGGUGAAAUGCGCAGAGAUAUGGAGGAACACCAGUGGCGAAGGCGACUUUCUGGUCUGUAACUGACGCUGAUGUGCGAAAGCGUGGGGAUCAAACAGGAUUAGAUACCCUGGUAGUCCACGCCGUAAACGAUGAGUGCUAAGUGUUAGGGGGUUUCCGCCCCUUAGUGCUGCAGCUAACGCAUUAAGCACCCCGCCUGGGGAGUACGACCGCAAGGUUGAAACUCAAAGGAAUUGACGGGGACCCGCACAAGCGGUGGAGCAUGUGGUUUAAUUCGAAGCAACGCGAAGAACCUUACCAAAUCUUGACAUCCUUUGACAACUCUAGAGAUAGAGCCUUCCCCUUCGGGGGACAAAGUGACAGGUGGUGCAUGGUUGUCGUCAGCUCGUGUCGUGAGAUGUUGGGUUAAGUCCCGCAACGAGCGCAACCCUUAAGCUUAGUUGCCAUCAUUAAGUUGGGCACUCUAAGUUGACUGCCGGUGACAAACCGGAGGAAGGUGGGGAUGACGUCAAAUCAUCAUGCCCCUUAUGAUUUGGGCUACACACGUGCUACAAUGGACAAUACAAAGGGCAGCGAAACCGCGAGGUCAAGCAAAUCCCAUAAAGUUGUUCUCAGUUCGGAUUGUAGUCUGCAACUCGACUACAUGAAGCUGGAAUCGCUAGUAAUCGUAGAUCAGCAUGCUACGGUGAAUACGUUCCCGGGUCU